GUUUGAGAUUAACCUGUUUACAUCUCGAUUAUUUCAAUGGGUACAUGUGAUUUUUCAUUAGUACGCAUAACAAGUAAUGCUGUCACCGAAACUUAGAUAGAUGAAAAAAUCUCCUACUAGUAUUAUUUGUGUCCACUGACUUAAUUGACCACAAAUGUACUUGUGUGACUUAUUGGAAGCUAUCUCUAAAUUGUGCUACUCCACCAAAGUAGGGAAGGACCGUAAUUAGUACAAUCCUGCACAUAAAAUCCUAGCUAUGCUCUAAUAGUGGAAGAAUGGCUAUCCCUAAAUUGUACUACUCUUCAAGUAGGGAAGGACCACGGUCGGUACAAAUCCUGCACCCUAAAAACCUCACAAUGCCGUCAGACCAUUACCUCUUCUGUUCAUAAUAUUUUACUACAUACUAUAUAUUAAAUCUCUUUGACUUCUUCGUAUGCUAUUUCUUAUUAUGUUUAGUGAAAAAUAUGACUCAACCACCCAGUCAAUGACCAAACCACCCAGUCAAUGACCAUACUUCAAGUUGAAAAUGAAGUAAUUUUCUGAGUACUCAGCUUGCUUGCAUCUCGAUUAUUUAAAUCGGUAUCUAUUAGCUUCAACUAGGACCCCAUCUUUCCAUCAAUGGAUCCCCACAUUUGAGAUUAGCAAUUAGCAUCAGGUACUUUGGGAAUGAUUUACCAUAUUAAAAUGAUUCCAAGCAUUUCCAACUCACAGCUGAUCAUGUGUGUUUGAUU
Lycium ferocissimum is the source of this 731-nucleotide long non-coding RNA. RefSeq lists it as uncharacterized. Lineage: Eukaryota; Viridiplantae; Streptophyta; Magnoliopsida; Solanales; Solanaceae. The record is from RefSeq and is a predicted model, not a curated record. The transcript is spliced from 3 exons.